RNAcentral lists this ribosomal RNA (410 nucleotides) under uncultured microorganism. RNAcentral's name for it is "bacterial SSU rRNA". It matches the Rfam family "Bacterial small subunit ribosomal RNA", at positions 509 to 917 of the family's 1533-position model. The record is from RNAcentral.
CAGCCGCCGCGGUAAUACGUAGGGUGCGAGCGUUAAUCGGAUUUACUGGGCGUAAAGCGUGCGCAGGCGGCCCGUUAAGACAGGUGUGAAAUCCCUGGGCUCAACCUAGGAAUUGCGCUUGUGACUGGCGGGCUCGAGUACGGUAGAGGGGGGUGGAAUUCCUGGUGUAGCAGUGAAAUGCGUAGACAUCAGGAGGAACACCGAUGGCGAAGGCAGCCCCCUGGGCCUGUACUGACGCUCAUGCACGAAAGCGGGGGGAGCAAACAGGAUUAGAGACCCUGGUAGUCCACGCCCUAAACGAUGGGUACUAGCCGUUUGGUGCGCGAUAGCGCUGAGUGGCGAAGCUAACGCGUGAAGUACCCCGCCUGGGGAGUACGGCCGCAAGGUUGAAACUUAAAGGAAUUGGCGGG